GGCCUUAUAGUGUAGUUGGUCAUCACAUGGGACUUUGAUAUAAAAGUGAUCCCAAGACCCCAGUUCGAAUCUGGGUAGGGCCU
Paraphysoderma sedebokerense is the source of this 83-nucleotide non-coding RNA. Lineage: Eukaryota; Fungi; Blastocladiomycota; Physodermatomycetes; Physodermatales; Physodermataceae. The record is from the annotation of a GenBank genome assembly.